This 251-nucleotide ribosomal RNA is filed under the name uncultured Pseudomonas sp. RNAcentral describes it as "partial 16S ribosomal RNA". It matches the Rfam family "Bacterial small subunit ribosomal RNA", at positions 524 to 774 of the family's 1533-position model. The record is from RNAcentral. Lineage: Bacteria; Pseudomonadati; Pseudomonadota; Gammaproteobacteria; Pseudomonadales; Pseudomonadaceae.
UACGAAGGGUGCAAGCGUUAAUCGGAAUUACUGGGCGUAAAGCGCGCGUAGGUGGUUCGUUAAGUUGGAUGUGAAUGCCCCGGGCUCAACCUGGGAACUGCAUCCAAAACUGGCGAGCUAGAGUACGGUAGAGGGUGGUGGAAUUUCCUGUGUAGCGGUGAAAUGCGUAGAUAUAGGAAGGAACACCUUUGGCUAAGGCGACCACCUGGACUGAUACUGACACUGAGGUGCGAAAGCGUGGGGUGCAAACA